CCUACAUGUGCGACUUGGUCCAUCGUCGGUCGUAGUUGCCUCGUCGUUGAUUUUGUUCCUUGUUCCUUCAGUUUGCAUGAGGGGUUACACCAUUGAUUUGGAAGUGAGUUACUAGUUCGUGAUAUAUGCGUUUGAGGUUGGUAAAGGUACUUGGCUACGAGUGAAGAGACGCUUAGAAUAACCACCUAGUUAAGAGACAAUUUCUAUUUCGGUUUAAGUUAGAUUUUGUUAUUUACUUUAUGGGGAUUAAUUGGUUGUAAUAUUUUAUUGGCCACCUUUAGACCACUUAGUUAAUUUUGAA
Spinacia oleracea (spinach) is the source of this 301-nucleotide long non-coding RNA. RefSeq lists it as uncharacterized. The record is from RefSeq and is a predicted model, not a curated record. The transcript is spliced from 3 exons. NCBI's taxonomy places the organism in Eukaryota, Viridiplantae, Streptophyta, Magnoliopsida, Caryophyllales, Amaranthaceae.